This is a non-coding RNA of Pocillopora verrucosa, 467 nucleotides long. NCBI's taxonomy places the organism in Eukaryota, Metazoa, Cnidaria, Anthozoa, Scleractinia, Pocilloporidae. The record is from RefSeq and is a predicted model, not a curated record.
GUAAAAGACGUUACGCUUUAUUGGAGUUUUCCAAGGUUAGAGGGCUGCACCUUUCUUUUGCCACUCGUGUAAUCCAUUCUGUAUUUUUGGAAAAUUUCAUUGGGAAAUGGAGUUGUGAAGAUAGUUGAUUAAUGAUUAAUGCUGACGUACGUUUGCUGGUGAGAUCUUAUUGUUCGCAACCCAGCUACACGAGGAAUUAUCCAAGAAAAGAUAUGCAAGCGACGUUAUCGAUUUGUUUAUUGAUCUUCGGCGUUUGUUUGCAAGGAGAUUUCUGUGAAAGUAAUAAAAUAUGUCAUGGAAAGCAAUACACUGUUAAAAGUGCUGAUGGAAACUUUGAAAAAUGUUAGCCUUGUGGAGUCUGCAAUGAGGGAUGGGGGCUGGAACCAAAAUGUGGAAGUAUUGUUAUAAGCCCUGUGAAUGAAACUUAUUGCCAGCGUUGCCAUGAUGGAGUAACAUAUUCUGACACU